AUUUAUCUGCAGGAUGUCUCUGA
This 23-nucleotide non-coding RNA is filed under the name Arabidopsis thaliana (thale cress). Lineage: Eukaryota; Viridiplantae; Streptophyta; Magnoliopsida; Brassicales; Brassicaceae. The record is from RNAcentral.